CGCUAAUUUUCCUUCUCCGGGCGCUGUUUCUUUUCCCCCGGCGCUUUUUCUAUUCCCGGGCGCUCUCGGGCGCUCCCGGGCGCUUUUCAGUAGGACCGCACAACACUAAAAUGUAACACACACAGAAACGGACCAAACAUCAGACAAAAUCCCACGAGAAUAACAAAUAUAACAUCAAAACCAAAUACAUGAAUUUGGGAUAGACAAGUACCGUGACACGUCUUAUCGCAAUAGAAAUUACACUAAAAAAUAAGAGAAAACAAACG
RNAcentral lists this long non-coding RNA (266 nucleotides) under Mytilus galloprovincialis (Mediterranean mussel). The record is from RNAcentral. Lineage: Eukaryota; Metazoa; Mollusca; Bivalvia; Mytilida; Mytilidae.